CUAAAUCAGAUUGGAAUGUGAACUGUUAGCGGUUUUGAACUGACCCUGCAUGUGCAAAAGAACAAUGACAUCAGACGCAGCGCGCUGUUGCACAAAAGUUAGGGAGAUUAUGGAGGAAGUAAGCAUUUUCCCUUUUAUUUCAAAAUGUUUGUGUAAUGGCAGCCGUAAUAAUGAGCAGGUGCUCUUCACCUUCCUUUGACACUGCAGUCAAGUUGUCCUGUGUCCUUGUUAUUCCAUUUUGUUUGCUAUUUUUUCAAAAACUGAGCAGAUUCUGUAUGAUCCUUAUAGUUUUGAUUGAUUUGAAAUAUCUCCCCAUACACUAAUUAGGUCCAACACCUCACUCUCCUUCCAUUGACUUGCUCCAUUAUUGUUCUCCCUUUUGUAGACCUACUCAAGUUUUUAAUUUUACUGUAUUGUCUAGGGCUAACUCCCACCGGCACAUAAUUGUGACAAAUGUUGAUGUAAAUUGACACAAAUGUCGCAUCAAAUCCACCUCGGUUGUUCAAACUGUGGCCGCAUUGAAAAAAAU
Molecule: long non-coding RNA, 529 nt
Organism: Etheostoma spectabile (orangethroat darter)
Lineage: Eukaryota; Metazoa; Chordata; Actinopteri; Perciformes; Percidae
Exons: 2
Source: RefSeq, a predicted model, not a curated record